UAGGGAAUCUUCCACAAUGGGCGCAAGCCUGAUGGAGCAACACCGCGUGAGUGAAGAAGGAUUUCGGCUCGUAAAGCUCUGUUGUUAAAGAAGAACACGUAUGAGAGUAACUGUUCAUACGUUGACGGUAUUUAACCAGAAAGUCACGGCUAACUACGUGCCAG
This 164-nucleotide ribosomal RNA is filed under the name uncultured bacterium. RNAcentral describes it as "partial 16S rRNA". It matches the Rfam family "Bacterial small subunit ribosomal RNA", at positions 355 to 511 of the family's 1533-position model. The record is from RNAcentral.